Molecule: long non-coding RNA, 771 nt
Organism: Xenia sp. Carnegie-2017
Lineage: Eukaryota; Metazoa; Cnidaria; Anthozoa; Malacalcyonacea; Xeniidae
Exons: 2
Source: RefSeq, a predicted model, not a curated record
CGUGAGUCGUGACGCGCUAGGAGCUUGUCAAGGUUUUAUCACAAAAAAUGCCAAAGAGUCAGAAGUCCGUACAUACGGAACACUACAAAAUUAGGAGAAAGAGUCCUCUCAGUUGUAGGAGCUGCCGAAAUCACGGAAUAAUCGUUCAUAUUAAAGGUCAUAAACAUGACUGUGUUCAUAAAGACUGCACGUGUAAUUUAUGUAUGGUGCCUGCUGAAGAAAGACGUCACACGGCUGCAAGAAUAGCAUUAUAUAGAGAAAAUCAACGUUUAUUAGAAUCAUAAGAUGAAUUGCAAAACCACAUGCACAUGGAAAAAAAAGCCAAGUAACAAAGAUAUUCUUUUAACAUUUCUUCCAAUCCACCCCACAAAGUUGUAGCUGAUUUACCACGAACGUAUGUUAAAAAUCCAACAUCAAUUCCGCCGAAUAUCCAGCUGCUCGUAAAAAUAUUUCCAAACCAACGUCCUGAUUUGCUCGAAAUGAUCUUUGGACGUAACAGUGAUGACUUCAUGUACACCAUCAAGUACAUUGAUGGUCUAAUAAAAGAUGCUGAAUUACUUCCACGACCAUCAAGAAGCUUUCCACUCACCAAUACCGGUCAAUGUUCAUACGGCUUUAUACCAACCAGUUCUUUCAACAACCCUCACCACUAUCAAAGGCAUGAACACACCCAAUUUUAACAUUUAAGGAUUGAAAAUCAUUUUGUACGAGAUAUUUUAUUUUAUUUAUUUACGGGAAUUAUACUUUAGUUAUUUGUGCAUGCAAAACAAA